GAUCAUGGCUCAGGAUGAACGCUGGCGGCGUGCUUAACACAUGCAAGUCGAACGAGCUUACUUUCACGAUCCCCUCGGGGGUGACGAGUUGUAAGCGAGUGGCGGACGGGUGAGUAACGCGUGGGCAACCUGCCCCAUACAGGGGGAUAACAGUUGGAAACGACUGACAAUACCGCAUAAGCGCACAGUACCGCAUGGUACGGUGUGAAAAACUCCGGUGGUAUGGGAUGGGCCCGCGUCUGAUUAGCUAGUUGGUGAGGUAACGGCCCACCAAGGCGACGAUCAGUAGCCGACCUGAGAGGGUGACCGGCCACAUUGGGACUGAGACACGGCCCAAACUCCUACGGGAGGCAGCAGUGGGGAAUAUUGCACAAUGGGGGAAACCCUGAUGCCAGCGACGCCGCGUGAGUGAUGAAGUAUUUCGGUAUGUAAAGCUCUAUCAGCAGGGAAGAAAUUGACGGUACCUGACUAAGAAGCCCCGGCUAACUACGUGCCAGCCGCCGC
RNAcentral lists this ribosomal RNA (504 nucleotides) under uncultured bacterium. Its description in RNAcentral is "bacterial SSU rRNA". It matches the Rfam family "Bacterial small subunit ribosomal RNA", at positions 15 to 518 of the family's 1533-position model. The record is from RNAcentral.